CCAGACAUUUCCACGGCAUUUUUCUAGUCACCAAGCACAUGUCUGCAUUCCUCGUCUUCUUAGCAUCUCCGCUCAGCCAGAGAGACAGGUGUUGCUAUCUCCAUUUCCUCGGUGGACCCUGAGAUUGGGCUGGGGGUGAUGUUUCCAAGCCCCUAGGUCAUCAUCUGGCAUCUGGAUGCAUUUCGAUGUCCUUGGCUUGGUUCCCCUAUCUCCUCUUUAUACUUAGAUCCAGGGUUCAUCUCUACAUUUCCACAGUAGUGAGACCCUAUCAGAAAUCUGCAGAAGUGGAUUGAGUGAGAGAGGAGACAGAACUGGAAAACACCAGAUCAGAAAGGACAACUUCUCCAACCCCCUACAUUGUCGACUGAAGAAAAUGGCCCAGAGAAAGGUGACUUCCUCCAGACCCAUCUUGACAGAGGUUCUUUCCCCUCGGCUUUGGUUGUUGCCACCAACGCUGCCGUCAAGGAUGUUUAGAACAACUGAGGCACAGGACCAUCUGACUGCAAACACAGGCUCUACCCGUCCCUGGCAGCUGUAUGUUCCUCAGAGUUCAGAGUGGAGGCUCCUCUAGACCCUGCCCAAUAUUCGUUCCCUUGCUAAAUCAUAGGAUGCUGGUAGCCGGCUAUGCUGAGAGCAGGUUAUUCUGGUGCCUGGGUCUUUGACGGUUUACUGUCUGACCACGUACCAGGGGCUUCUGAUAGCCAUCCUGUGACUGUUGCAGAUGAUGGAAUGUGUACGGCUUGUGACACCCUUCCCAUGGCAUCCAGUAGGUCUGGGGCUCCAAGCAGCCCUUGUCUGCCAGUUACAAAAUUUCUUCCACACAAAGAGGCAUGUCAGAGUGCAAGCAACGGGCCAGGGCAUUAUUACAGGAUUACGUGGAAUCUGUUCUAAUUGACUAAAACAAGAAAGAUCAUCAAUCAUUUGAAAGACUCGGCAGUUAUUAUUAGGUAGCCGCUUGCCUAUGACACACCUCAAAACUGCUCCAGGCAUGCAGCAUGUCAGGGCACCGCUGUGGGAGAACCGCUGGUCAAGAUGAUGCCAGAGCUGCCAGUUGUGAAAUGAAAGCCAAUGCCAAUUAACUCAUUGUUUCAUCUGCCGUGGGCCAGAGAAUCGACUGGGGAGAACAUUUUGUCCACACUCAGUGAACUGGCUGGUGGUCUUGGCCCU
Long non-coding RNA from Mesocricetus auratus (golden hamster), 1167 nucleotides. RefSeq lists it as uncharacterized. NCBI's taxonomy places the organism in Eukaryota, Metazoa, Chordata, Mammalia, Rodentia, Cricetidae. The record is from RefSeq and is a predicted model, not a curated record. The transcript is spliced from 3 exons.